AUUGAACGCUGGCGGCAUGCCUUACACAUGCAAGUCGAACGGUAACAGGUCUUCGGAUGCUGACGAGUGGCGGACGGGUGCGUAAUACAUCGGAACGUGCCCGAUCGUGGGGGAUAACGAGUCGAAAGCUUUGCUAAUACCGCAUACGAUCUAAGGUUGAAAGCGGGGGAGCUUCGUACCUAGAGCGGGCGGUGCGGCCGCUGGCAGAUUAGGUAGUUGGUGGGAUAAAAGCUUACCAAGCCGACGAUCUGUAGCUGGGCUGAGAGGAUGAUCAGCCACACUGGGACUGAGACACGGCCCAGACUCCUACGGGAGGCAGCAGUGGGGAAUUUUGGACAAAGGGCGAAAGCCUGAUCCAGCCAUGCCGCGUGCAGGAUGAAGGCCUUCGGGUUGUAAACUGCUUUUGUACGGAACGAAAAGCCUCUUUCUAAUAAAGAGGGGUCAUGACGGUACCGGAAGAAUAAGCACCGGCUAACUACGUG
Molecule: ribosomal RNA, 482 nt
Filed under: uncultured bacterium
Lineage: Bacteria
Description: partial 16S ribosomal RNA
Rfam family: Bacterial small subunit ribosomal RNA
Source: RNAcentral